GAUGAACGCUGGCGGCGUGCCUAAUACAUGCAAGUCGAGCGAACAGACGAGGAGCUUGCUCCUCUGACGUUAGCGGCGGACGGGUGAGUAACACGUGGAUAACCUACCUAUAAGACUGGGAUAACUUCGGGAAACCGGAGCUAAUACCGGAUAAUAUAUUGAACCGCAUGGUUCAAUAGUGAAAGACGGUUUUGCUGUCACUUAUAGAUGGAUCCGCGCCGCAUUAGCUAGUUGGUAAGGUAACGGCUUACCAAGGCGACGAUGCGUAGCCGACCUGAGAGGGGGAUCGGCCACACGGGAACUGGGACACGGUCCAGACUCCUACGGGAGGCAGCAGUAGGAAAUCUGCCGCAAGGGGCGAAAGCCUGACGGAGCAACGCCGCGUGAGUGAUGAAGGUCUUCGGAUCGUAAAACUCUGUUAUUAGGGAAGAACAAAUGUGUAAGUAACUAUGCACGUCUGGACGGUACCUAAGCAGAAAGCCACGGCUAACUACGU
This 496-nucleotide ribosomal RNA is filed under the name uncultured bacterium. Its description in RNAcentral is "partial 16S ribosomal RNA". It matches the Rfam family "Bacterial small subunit ribosomal RNA", at positions 28 to 506 of the family's 1533-position model. The record is from RNAcentral.